This 915-nucleotide long non-coding RNA is filed under the name Homo sapiens (human). RNAcentral describes it as "HSALNT0300412". Lineage: Eukaryota; Metazoa; Chordata; Mammalia; Primates; Hominidae. The record is from RNAcentral.
CAGACGGCAGGCACUAACUGACACGAAAUUAGAGAGCUGUUCGUGUAGAUGGAGGACCAGGUAACAUGCAAAAGCCAAAUCUUAGUAUGCAUAGGAUUCUUAAUAAAGCUAAAUAAAUGUAGUCAUCGCAUUGAAAAUGCAGAGAAGAGCAAACCUGGAAAGUUUCUGAUGAGCUGGUGGCUUUGUGCCAAUGGAGGGAAAAAGAAAGAUAACAAGGAACUAGACACUGUGGGUGAACUCCUGGCCUCCUGCUGCGAGGCGCCUGAGGACCCUGGGCUCUCCCUCCUCGGUUUGGGCUUCAGAGGACCCUGGGCUCUCCCUCCUCGGUUUGGGCUUCAGAAGGUGGCUCCACUUCUGGGUGGCAGUGACAGGCAGACCUGCUGAGAGCCCAGAGAGAAAUACUACCCUGCAGGGAGAUAAGGUCAUCAACCUGCCACCACUGGUAUAUUCCCAUAAUAAUGUCCACUGGUCCCAGUCGAGAGGCACCCACUCCUUUUCCUCUUGUCUAACACAGGAGUCUCGAGCUGCCUAAAGAAACCCAUUUUUGGGAAGAGGAUUAAAAACAAACAAACAAACAACAAAACUGUGCUCCAAAUGUAUAUAACCCUGUAGAUUAAUGAAACAUUUGGGCCAAAGUUCUGUAUUCUCAUAGGCAAAGACUCUCAUAGUAUUAAUAUAUUCACUGAUUUUAAAUUAUUUUUAACUUAAAGGUUUUGUUUUAAUCUGCUGUGAUGAAAUCUUGGAUCACUAUAGCUGUAAAUGAGUAGAUUUAUCUAGAUAUGUUAAAUGAACAAAUGUAAAAUGUUCGAUACAGCACAGGUGCUUAAUAAGUUGGCUUCAGAGCCGUGUUUUUCCAACAUGUUCUGAUGAUCCAAGUUUGAUACUUAAGACAAUUAAAAACAAGAAAUUUAACUU